UUGGAGGGCAAGUCUGGUGCCAGCAGCCGCGGUAAUUCCAGCUCCAAUAGCGUAUAUUAAAGUUGUUGCAGUUAAAAAGCUCGUAGUUGAAUUUCGGGGUUCUACCGUUGGUCGGGCUUUGUCUGUACUGGUGUGUAGAAUUUCUACCUUCUGGGGAACCAUCAUGCUAUUAAUUUAGCGUGGUGGGAAACCAGGACCUUUACCUUGAAAAAAUUAGUGUGUUCAAAGCAGGCUUAUGUCUGAAUACAUCAGCGUGGAAUAAUAGAAUAGGACGGUGGUCCUGUUUUGUUGGUUUCUGAAUCACCGUAAUGAUUAAUAGGGAUAGUUGGGGGCAUUAGUAUUCAAUUGUCAGAGGUGAAAUUCUUGGAUUUAUUGAAGACUAACUUCUGCGAAAGCAUUUGCCAAGGAUGUUUUCAUUAAUCAAGAACGAAAGUUAGGGGAUCGAAGACGAUCAGAUACCGUCGUAGUCUUAACCAUAAACUAUGCCGACUAGGGAUCGGACGAUGUUAAUUUUUCUUGACUCGUUCGGCGCCUUACGGGAAAC
RNAcentral lists this ribosomal RNA (544 nucleotides) under uncultured Glomeromycotina. RNAcentral's name for it is "SSU rRNA". It matches the Rfam family "Eukaryotic small subunit ribosomal RNA", at positions 548 to 1098 of the family's 1831-position model. Lineage: Eukaryota; Fungi; Glomeromycota. The record is from RNAcentral.